GGGCCCGUGGCCUAGCCAGGAUAUGGCGCCGGCCUUCUAAGCCGGAUGUCGAGGGUUCGAAUCCCUCCGGGUCCG
This 75-nucleotide transfer RNA is filed under the name Thermoplasmatales archaeon ex4484_6. RNAcentral describes it as "tRNA-Arg". It matches the Rfam family "tRNA". Rfam says of the family: Transfer RNA (tRNA) molecules are approximately 80 nucleotides in length. Their secondary structure includes four short double-helical elements and three loops (D, anti-codon, and T loops). Further hydrogen bonds mediate the characteristic L-shaped molecular structure. tRNAs have two regions of fundamental functional importance: the anti-codon, which is responsible for specific mRNA codon recognition, and the 3' end, to which the tRNAs corresponding amino acid is attached (by aminoacyl-tRNA synthetases). tRNAs cope with the degeneracy of the genetic code in two manners: having more than one tRNA (with a specific anti-codon) for a particular amino acid; and 'wobble' base-pairing, i.e. permitting non-standard base-pairing at the 3rd anti-codon position. RNAcentral also lists the same sequence under 2 other names. The record is from RNAcentral. Lineage: Archaea; Methanobacteriati; Thermoplasmatota; Thermoplasmata; Thermoplasmatales.